This 124-nucleotide transfer RNA is filed under the name Yersinia enterocolitica. RNAcentral describes it as "transfer RNA-Asn". The stretch from base 49 to 121 matches the Rfam family "tRNA". From Rfam's summary of the family: Transfer RNA (tRNA) molecules are approximately 80 nucleotides in length. Their secondary structure includes four short double-helical elements and three loops (D, anti-codon, and T loops). The record is from RNAcentral. Lineage: Bacteria; Pseudomonadati; Pseudomonadota; Gammaproteobacteria; Enterobacterales; Yersiniaceae.
GUUGACAGUAUCGGGUAUGCUAGAUAUCAUGCGCCCCGUUCACACGAUUCCUCUGUAGUUCAGUCGGUAGAACGGCGGACUGUUAAUCCGUAUGUCACUGGUUUGAGUCCAGUCAGAGGAGCCA